This 560-nucleotide ribosomal RNA is filed under the name uncultured bacterium. RNAcentral describes it as "partial 16S ribosomal RNA". It matches the Rfam family "Bacterial small subunit ribosomal RNA", at positions 355 to 1375 of the family's 1533-position model. The record is from RNAcentral.
UGGGGAAUAUUGGACAAUGGGCGCAAGCCUGAUCCAGCAAUGCCGCGUGAGUGAUGAAGGCCUUAGGGUUGUAAAGCUCUUUCGCACGCGACGAUGAUGACGGUAGCGUGAGAAGAAGCCCCGGCUAACUUCGUGCCAGCAGCCGCGGUAAUACGAAGGGGGCUAGCGUUGUUCGGAAUUACUGGGCGUAAAGGGCGCGUAGGCGGCCUGUUUAGUCAGAAGUGAAAGCCCCGGGCUCAACCUGGGAAUAGCUUUUGAUACUGGCAGGCUUGAGUUCCGGAGAGGAUGGUGGAAUUCCCAGUGUAGAGGUGAAAUUCGUAGAUAUUGGGAAGAACACCGGUGGCGAAGGCGGCCAUCUGGACGGACACUGACGCUGAGGCGCGAAAGCGUGGGGAGCAAACAGGAUCAGAUACCCUGGUAGUCCACGCCGUAAACGAUGAAUGCUAGACGUCGGGGUGCAUGCACUUCGGUGUCGCCGCUAACGCAUUAAGCAUUCCGCCUGGGGAGUACGGCCGCAAGGUUAAAACUCAAAGGAAUUGACGGGGUCAUAGCUGUUUCCU